AGCUCAGGAGACAGAUCGUUCACCACCCAAUAAACUGAUCAAGGUUCAAUUCCUCGUGGUAGGUGGCUGAUACAAAUUCUACUCCCAACUUGCACUGAGUGUAGGAGGUUUCUGUGGUUUUCUACUCCAUGUAACGCAAAUGCGAGUUAGUUCCAUCAAAAUAACCUACAAGCAGGUGAGGACUCAGUCACCUUUCUCAUCUUUUUCAUAAAGUGAUCACCUUUUCAUAGAUUUUUAGUAAAAAGGUUUAUAUAAGCUGUCAUUUUGCAAACAUGUUAAAUUCAGGACACUGGAAAUCGAGCCUCAUUCCUUGGUCGAUUCCAUGUGACUCAAGUUUCCAUUUGAAAUUCUUUUACUUACAUAAGACUUAAGAUUUGGACUCUAGAAUAAGUAAAGAUGGCAAUGCUAGUAAACUUUAAUCAGUGCUUAGAAUAAUGUGAGUUUCCAAAUAAGAUGGUUUUUUGGCACAGAUCAUGUGAUUCAACAUGUAUUUGUAUUUCUUAUCUGAUUACUGUAAGUUCAUCUUUAAUCCCAGUGGAAGAUUUACUACAAUACGCUGAUAUUUUAGGUAUAUUUUUUCAUAAUACAUAGAAUUUAGUAAAUCGGAUAAUUGGAUGUAAAAAUUGAUAAUAAAUUAUCUCAAAUUUCAUUUAAAA
Molecule: long non-coding RNA, 656 nt
Organism: Parasteatoda tepidariorum (common house spider)
Lineage: Eukaryota; Metazoa; Arthropoda; Arachnida; Araneae; Theridiidae
Source: RefSeq, a predicted model, not a curated record